UUAUUUAGUUAUUCAUUCCACACACUUGCCGACACGUUAUCCUGGGUGCCCAAGAGGUUCUUUUGAAUUUUAAGGGUUGGAUAAUGGGGCAGGUGGAGGCUCAAC
This 105-nucleotide small RNA is filed under the name Candidatus Berkiella cookevillensis. Its description in RNAcentral is "Legionella-like amoebal pathogen CC99 t44 RNA". It matches the Rfam family "t44 RNA". From Rfam's summary of the family: This family consists of a number of bacterial RNA genes of between 135 and 170 bases in length. The t44 gene is found between the map and rpsB genes in all species in the full alignment apart from Shigella flexneri. The record is from Rfam by way of RNAcentral. Lineage: Bacteria; Pseudomonadati; Pseudomonadota; Gammaproteobacteria; Candidatus Berkiellales; Candidatus Berkiellaceae.